CGUAGGUGGCAAGCGUUGUCCGGAUUUACUGGGUGUAAAGGGCGUGUAGGCGGGAAUGCAAGUCAGAUGUGAAAUUCCGGGGCUCAACCCCGGCACUGCAUCUGAAACUGUGUUUCUUGAGUGCUGGAGAGGAAAGCGGAAUUCCUAGUGUAGCGGUGAAAUGCGUAGAUAUUAGGAGGAACACCAGUGGCGAAGGCGGCUUUCUGGACAGUAACUGACGCUGAGGCGCGAAAGCGUGGGGAGCAAACAGGAUUAGAUAUCCUGGUAGUCCACGCUGUAAACGAUGGAUACUAGGUGUAGGAGGUAUCGACCCCUUCUGUGCCGGAGUUAACACAAUAAGUAUCCCACCUGGGGAGUACGGCCGCAAGGUUG
Molecule: ribosomal RNA, 372 nt
Filed under: uncultured organism
Description: bacterial SSU rRNA
Rfam family: Bacterial small subunit ribosomal RNA
Source: RNAcentral